CUUCAGGUGGUUCAUGCAGACAUCUGUACUCAGGCUUCACUUCUUCAGAAGGCUGAUGUUUGUUGUUGUAAUGAAUAAUGUCUUUGAAUAUUUUCUUGACAGACUGGAACAGGCCAGAGCUUGGGAGUUUAUCGCUUGUAAUGUAAAGAAAAGAGGGUCCUUAUUAGUGACAGCUCCAAGCCUUAAAGAUUUGCUCUCAAAGCUUCAGGUAAACCUGGAAGAGAAUAGCCCACAUCUGGGGAACCUUCCCUGCCACUUCAUUUUCCUAAGCAAAGCCU
Anas platyrhynchos (mallard) is the source of this 278-nucleotide long non-coding RNA. RefSeq lists it as uncharacterized. The record is from RefSeq and is a predicted model, not a curated record. Lineage: Eukaryota; Metazoa; Chordata; Aves; Anseriformes; Anatidae.